CUCGCCAGGGAACAACGAGCCCCAGCUUAAAACCCAAAGGACUUGGCGGUGCUUUAGACCCCCCUAGAGGAGCCUGUUCUAGAAUCGAUACCCCCCGUUCAACCUCACCCUCCCUUGCUUUCCCCGCCUAUAUACCGCCGUCGUCAGCUUACUCUGUGAAGACUCAAAAGUAAGCAUAAUUGGCACAACCCAAAACGUCAGGUCAAGGUGUAGCGCACGGGAGGGGAAGAAAUGGGCUACAUUUACUGAAACAGUAAAAACGGAUUUUUGCACUGAAACGAGCAUCUGAAGGAGGAUUUAGCAGUAAGAGGCGAAUAGAGCGCCCCUCUGAAAAUGGCCCUGAAGCGCGCACACACCGCCCGUCACUCUCCCCGAAAAUAAUUAAACCAAUAAAUAAUAUGCCUAGUAAAAUAGAGGGGAGGCAAGUCGUAACAUGGUAAGUGUACCGGAAGGUGUACUUGGAAAAACC
RNAcentral lists this ribosomal RNA (469 nucleotides) under Parrella macropteryx. Its description in RNAcentral is "partial 12S ribosomal RNA". It matches the Rfam family "Bacterial small subunit ribosomal RNA", at positions 868 to 1528 of the family's 1533-position model. The record is from RNAcentral. Lineage: Eukaryota; Metazoa; Chordata; Actinopteri; Gobiiformes; Gobiidae.